This 301-nucleotide ribosomal RNA is filed under the name uncultured bacterium. RNAcentral describes it as "partial 16S ribosomal RNA". It matches the Rfam family "Bacterial small subunit ribosomal RNA", at positions 509 to 808 of the family's 1533-position model. The record is from RNAcentral.
CAGUAGCCGCGGUAAUACGUAGGGUGCGAGCGUUAAUCGGAAUUACUGGGCGUAAAGCGUGCGCAGGCGGUUGUGUAAGACAGGUGUGAAAUCCCCGGGCUUAACCUGGGAACUGCGCUUGUGACUGCACAGCUAGAGUAUGGCAGAGGGGGGGUGGAAUUCCACGUGUAGCAGUGAAAUGCGUAGGGAUGUGGAGGAACACCGAUGGCGAAGGCAGCCCCCUGGGCCAAUACUGACGCUCAUGCACGAAAGCGUGGGGAGCAAACAGGAUUAGAUACCCCAGUAGUCCCUGUCUCUUAUA